AACGAACGCUUGCGGCAUGCCUAACACAUGCAAGUCGAACGAGACCUCCGGGUCUAGUGGCGCACGGGUGCGUCACGCGUGGGAACCUGCCCUUAGGUUCGGAAUAACUCUCCGAAAGGGGUGCUAAUACCGGAUAAUGUCUUCGGACCAAAGAUUUAUCGCCUUUGGAUGGGCCCGCGUUGGAUUAGCUAGUUGGUAGGGUAAAAGCCUACCAAGGCGACGAUCCAUAGCUGGUCUGAGAGGAUGAUCAGCCACACUGGGACGGAGACACGGCCCAGACUCCUACGGGAGGCAGCAGUGGGGAAUAUUGGACAAUGGGCGAAAGCCUGAUCCAGCAAUGCCGCGUGAGUGAUGAAGGCCUUAGGGUUGUAAAGCUCUUUUACCCGGGAUGAUAAUGACAGUACCGGGAGAAUAAGCUCCGGCUAACUCCGUG
Molecule: ribosomal RNA, 433 nt
Filed under: uncultured bacterium
Lineage: Bacteria
Description: partial 16S ribosomal RNA
Rfam family: Bacterial small subunit ribosomal RNA
Source: RNAcentral